AGGAAGGAGAAGUCGUAACAAGGUUUCCGUAGGUGAACCUGCGGAAGGAUCAUUGUCGAAACCUGCCCAGCAGAACGACCCGCGAACUCUUGAAAACACCAGAGGGGGCGUGCCUUGCGUGCGCUCCCCUCCCUUCCGCCUCAGGUGCUGGCUCGUCCUAGUGCCUGUUGCGGGACAACAAACCCCGGGCGCAGCGUGCGCCAAGGAAAAUGAACAAGGGAGCGCGAUCUCAGGCCCCGGACACGGUGCGCUUGGGAUGCAGUGCCUUCUCUCACAUUAUCUAUAAUGACUCUCGGCAACGGAUAUCUCGGCUCUCGCAUCGAACGCAGCGAAAUGCGAUACUUGGUGUGAAUUGCAGAAUCCCGUGAACCAUCGAGUCUUUGAACGCAAGUUGCGCCCUAAGCUGUUAGGCUGAGGGCACGUCUGCCUGGGUGUCACGCAUCGUUGCCCCACCCCAACCCCCCUAAGGGGCCUGGCGGUGUAGGCUGAGAAUGGCCUCCCGUGCGCUACCACUCGCGGUUGGCCCAAAUAUGUGUCCUAGGCGACGAAAGCCACGACAUUCGGUGGUGCAAGCAUGCCUCUCGAGAUCAUGUCGUGUGCCUACGUCUCCGUUUAGGGACGGAAGGACCCUGAUGCUCUGCGCAAGCGGAGCUCGCAUCGCGACCCCAGGUCAGGCGGGAUUACCCGCUGAGUUUAAGC
RNAcentral lists this small RNA (699 nucleotides) under Euodia hortensis. Its description in RNAcentral is "eukaryotic LSU rRNA". The stretch from base 288 to 437 matches the Rfam family "5.8S ribosomal RNA". The record is from RNAcentral. Lineage: Eukaryota; Viridiplantae; Streptophyta; Magnoliopsida; Sapindales; Rutaceae.